UAGCUAAAUACCGGAUAACAACAGAUGAUGCCUAUCAAACUGUUUAAAAAAAGAUGGUUCUGCUAUCAACUCUUGGACUGGACCUGCGGUGCAUUAGCUAGUUGGUAGGGUAACGGCCUACCAAGGCGAUGAUGCAUAGCCGAGUUGAGAGACUGAUCGGCCACAUUGGGACUGAGACACGGCCCAAACUCCUACGGGAGGCAGCAGUAGGGAAUCUUCCACAAUGGACGCAAGUCUGAUGGAGCAACGCCGCGUGAGUGAAGAAGGGUUUCGGCUCGUAAAGCUCUGUUGUUGGUGAAGAAGGACAGGGGUAGUAACUGACCUUUGUUUGACGGUAAUCAAUUAGAAAGUCACGGCUAACUACGUGCCAGCAGCCGCGGUAAAU
This 385-nucleotide ribosomal RNA is filed under the name uncultured Lactobacillus sp. RNAcentral's name for it is "bacterial SSU rRNA". It matches the Rfam family "Bacterial small subunit ribosomal RNA", at positions 159 to 525 of the family's 1533-position model. Lineage: Bacteria; Bacillati; Bacillota; Bacilli; Lactobacillales; Lactobacillaceae. The record is from RNAcentral.